RNAcentral lists this signal recognition particle RNA (263 nucleotides) under Eubacterium sp. RNAcentral describes it as "signal recognition particle sRNA large type". It matches the Rfam family "Bacterial large signal recognition particle RNA". Rfam says of the family: The signal recognition particle (SRP) is a universally conserved ribonucleoprotein involved in the co-translational targeting of proteins to membranes. Archaeal SRP consists of a 7S RNA and homologues of the eukaryotic SRP19 and SRP54 proteins. Lineage: Bacteria; Bacillati; Bacillota; Clostridia; Eubacteriales; Eubacteriaceae. The record is from RNAcentral.
CCGUGCAGCCGGGGAGUUAGCGGUGCCCUGUACCUGCAAUCCGCUAUAGCAGGGGUGAUGGCUGGCCUCGAACUGGUUAUGCGAGGUCUGCCCUUGGUAAGUAAUGUUGAAGAUUCAGGUCUUGCGCGACAGGACCCUGUGAACCGUGUCAGGUUGGGAACAAAGCAGCACUAAGCAGGUCAUCCUGUGCGCCGCGAGGCAGCCUGGAGCGAGUUAACUGCCAAGGUAACGUUCGUAUAAACUUUGCAAAGUCAGCCGCGCGG